RNAcentral lists this ribosomal RNA (253 nucleotides) under uncultured bacterium. RNAcentral describes it as "partial 16S ribosomal RNA". It matches the Rfam family "Bacterial small subunit ribosomal RNA", at positions 524 to 776 of the family's 1533-position model. The record is from RNAcentral.
UACGUAGGGGGCAAGCGUUGUCCGGAUUUAUUGGGCGUAAAGAGCGUGUAGGCGGUUUGGUAGGUCCGCUGUGAAAACUCGAGGCUCAACCUCGAGACGCCGGUGGAAACCACCGGACUAGAGUCCGGAAGAGGAGAGUGGAAUUCCUGGUGUAGCGGUGAAAUGCGUAGAGAUGUGGAGGAACACCAGUGGCGAAGGCGGCUUUCUGGUCUGUAACUGACGCUGAGGCGCGAAAGCGUGGGGAGCAAACAGG